RNAcentral lists this ribosomal RNA (465 nucleotides) under uncultured bacterium. RNAcentral describes it as "partial 16S ribosomal RNA". It matches the Rfam family "Bacterial small subunit ribosomal RNA", at positions 28 to 507 of the family's 1533-position model. The record is from RNAcentral.
GACGAACGCUGGCGGCGUGCUUAACACAUGCAAGUCGAACGGAAAGGCCCCCUUGUGGGGUACUCGAGUGGCGAACGGGUGAGUAACACGUGAGUAACCUACCCUUGACUUUGGGAUAACUUCAGGAAACUGGGGCUAAUACCGGAUAGGAGCUCCUGCUGCAUGGUGGGGGUUGGAAAGUUUCGGCGGUUGGGGAUGGACUCGCGGCUUAUUAGCUUGUUGGUGGGGUAGUGGGUCACCAAGGCGUUGACGGGUAGCCGGCCGGAGAGGGUGACCGGCCACAUUGGGACUGAGAUACGGCCCAGACUCCUACGGGAGGCAGCAGUGGGGAAUAUUGCACAAUGGGCGGAAGCCUGAUGCAGCAACGCCGCGUGCGGGAUGACGGCCUUCGGGUUGUAAACCGCUUUCGCCUGUGACGAAGCGUGAGUGACGGUAAUGGGUAAAGAAGCACCGGCUAACUACGUG